Molecule: ribosomal RNA, 96 nt
Filed under: Thesium spinosum
Lineage: Eukaryota; Viridiplantae; Streptophyta; Magnoliopsida; Santalales; Thesiaceae
Also listed under: 1 other name
Description: partial 28S ribosomal RNA
Source: RNAcentral
UCUCGUUGACCCAAUGACUUCCUUCGCGCCUUGCGCGGAGGAGUUCACUAUGCGACCCCAGGUCAGGCGGGGCUACCCGCUGAGUUUAAGCAUAUC